This 3902-nucleotide long non-coding RNA is filed under the name Vitis vinifera (wine grape). RNAcentral describes it as "long non-coding RNA (VVIN_LNC001010)". The record is from RNAcentral. Lineage: Eukaryota; Viridiplantae; Streptophyta; Magnoliopsida; Vitales; Vitaceae.
UAAGAAUUGAGUUUUGCUGAAUCUUUAAUUGGAAAAGAUGAUUUGCUGGUUAAUGAUUGACUACUUUUAAUUGUUGGCAAAUUGUGAACUGGAUAAAAUUAUACUAAUUUAAUGAAAGAUGAACUAGAACAGGUAAUAAUACUAAUGGAAACAGAGGAUUAUUAAACUGAUAAUGUUUAGUUGAUCAUGUAGUUUUAAAUGGUAAACAAACAGUGAAAUAAGUACUGCUCAUUGAUGACAUAAAACUGUCUGUUGAUAUUGACUUUUGACCUUCUUGGUUUUUUGCAAAAUUUUAAAUGAUACGCAAUGUUUGCUUUCUUUUCCUUUUUUAAGCAAUCAAGCAGUAAGCCGAUAGAAAGCAACAAAGCAAAUAGGAAAAGUUCAUUUGAAAUAUUUAUAUGGCAUAGUGUGAAGGUUGAAAACCAUUGAACAGUUGUUAACAAUCUGAUGAUGAUGAAGAUGAAUGGGGAUAAAGCCCCUGACCCAGAUGGUUUGACUGUAGCCUUCUGGCAAAACGCAUGGGACUUUACCAAAGAGGAGAUCAUGGAGAUGUUUAAAGAAUUUCAUGAGCAUAAUUCCUUUGUUAGGAGCCUCAACAAUACUUUUUUGGUGUUGAUACCUAAGAAAAGCGGGGCGGAGGAUUUGGGAGUCUUUAGACCUAUCAGUCUGUUGGGGGGUCUCUAUAAACUUUUGGCUAAAGUCUUAGCUAAUAGGCUAAAAAAAGUGAUUGGUAAGGUGGUCUCUAGUGCUCAAAAUGCCUUUGUAAUGGGAAGACAAAUUCUGGAUGCGUCCUUAAUUGCUAAUGAGGUGAUAGAUUUGUGGCAGAAGAGAAAAGAAAAGGGCCUUAUUUGCAAAUUGGAUAUAGAAAAAGCUUAUGACAGCAUUAAUUGGAAUUUUUUAAUGAAGGUCCUUCAAAAAAUGGGCUUUGGGAACAAGUGGGUCCCGGAUGUGGAGCUGUGUGUCUUCUGCAAAAUUCUCUAUUCUUGUUAAUGGAGUGCCAGCUGGGUUUUUCCCUAGCACUAGAGGGCUUCGUCAAGGGGAUCCUCUAUCCCCUUACCUCUUUGUUAUGGGAAUGGAGGUUCUGGACGUUCUCAUCAGGAGAGCGGUGGAGGGGGGAUAUCUUUCAGGAUGCAACAUUCGGGGUGGUAGUAGAACUUCAUUGAAUAUCUCCCACCUAUUUUUUGUUGAUGACACAAUUGUGUUUUGUGAGGCGAGCAAAGAACAAGUCUCUCAUCUAAGCUGGAUUCUCUUUUGGUUUGAAGCGGCUUUGGGUCUUCGAAUGAACCUAGCCAAAAGCGAAAUCAUUCCAGUUGGAGAAGUGGAGGAGAUUCUUGAGUUGGCAGCUGAGCUAGGGUGCAAGGUGGGGUCUCUGGCCUCCCAAUAUUUGGGUCUCCCUUUAGGGGUCCCCAAUAGGGCUUCUUCUAUGUGGGAUGGAGUGGAAGAGAGGGUCAGGAGGAGACUUGCGCUUUGGAAAAGACAGUACAUUUCCAAAGGGGGGCGGAUCACUCUUAUAAAAAGUACCUUGGCUAAAAGAGUGGAGAAAACCCAAAGAGAUUUCCUAUGGGGGGGUGGAAACUUGGAGGGAAAAAUUCAUCUAGUUAAAUGGGAUGUGGUCUGCACAGAAAAACUCAAUGGAGGGCUAGGAUUAAGGAGGAUAGCCACUCUGAAUAGAGCCUUGUUGGGCAAGUGGACUUGGAGGUUUGCGUGUGAAAAGGAUAACCUUUGGAAACAAGUGAUUUCUACGAAAUAUGGGCAAGAGGAACAUGGUUGGAGGGCUAAGAAGGCUAGUGGGGCGGCUGGAGUUGGGGUCUGGAAGGAGAUUAUGAAAGAAUCUGAAUGGUGCUGGGAAAAUUUGGCUUUUCUAGUUGGGAAGGGUUCCAAAAUUAAAUUUUGGAAAGAUAGUUGGUGCACUGAUACUCCGUUGUCCCAAUGUUUCAACCACCUUUUUGUCCUUGCUGUGCAGAGACGCCACGAUUGAGGAGAUGUGGGACCAACAUUCGGGCCAAGGAGAUUGGAAUCUUGUUUUUGUGAGGGACUUCAAUGAUUGGGAGUUGGAUAUGGUUGGUGAUCUGCUCCAUACUUUGAGGGGUCAUAGGCCUUCCCUGGAGGAUGACUCAGUUAAAUGGAGGCAAGGAAGAAAUGGUCUCUUCAGGGUUAAAGAAGCUUACAGGAUUUUGGACAAGCCUAAUGCCACAGUGUUUCCCGCAAGGAGAAUAUGGGUGGAUAGGGUGCCAACUAAAGUCCGCUUUUUUGCUUGGGAGGCUACAUGGGGGAAGGUGCUCACUCUGGAUAGACUCCAGAUAAGAGGGGGUGCAAAUCCCAAAUUGUUGUUUUUUGUGUGGUUGUGAAGAAGAGAAUGUAAAUCAUAUUCUUUUACACUGUAUAGUGACUAGAGCCCUUUGGGAUAUUAUUUUUGGGUUGAUAGAUAUUAAGUGGGUCCUCCCAGAAACUGUUAAGGAGGCUUUAACCUCCUGGAGGGGUUCAUUUGUAGGGAAGAAAAGGAAACAGAUUUGGAAAUCCAUUCCGUUGUGUAUUUUUUGGACGGUCUGGAAGGAGAGGAAUAGGUUAGCCUUUAGGGGGGGUGCGGUGAAUGUUCAGAGAUUAAAGAAUUCUUUUGUUUGUAAUUUAUGGAAUUGAGCCAAAGUGUAUUUAGGUGAGGAGUCUUUCUCCCUUAUAGGUUUCUUGGAGUGGAUAGCUUCCACUUGAGGGGAGGUAGUUCUUUUUGGUCCUUUUUCUCUUUUUGAGGCUAUAGCUGUCUUGUAUACUCCCUGUAUGCUUUGUGGCGUUUAGCCUUUCUAAUGCAUAUCUUGUUUACUUAUCAAAAAAAAAAAAACAAUCUGAUGAUGAUGGGAAUUAUUUUAAGUUUUUAUUUUAUUUUUUAUAUUAGCAUCAAGGGAAUCACCUUCAGGAAGUACAUUGCUAAAACCAAGAUACAUGACAUAGAGACAACAAAAACCUAACCAUAGAAAGGAAUCAUAUGAUUUCUUUGAUGGAACCAAUGUAAAAUGGAUAUUUAUUUAUUUAUUUUUUUAUGGUGGGACACGGUCAUUUCAUUGAACAGCAAUAGCAAAAAGGUUACAAGAAGGAUUAGUUAUCUUUCAAUCUGAAAACAAGAAAGAGCCGCUACAAAAUGGUGCUUCAUCAGUCCAAGGACCUAGCAGUAGAUUCUUCAAGAUGAUGGUGGGCAUGACAGAAAAACUAGUUUCUUUCUAUCCUACUCUCCUUGUCCUUUGUUCUUCUGGCACACAAGAUAUAGCUUCACUUUCAAACUUCAAGUGCUGGAGAGUAAAGUGGACUGCUAAUGAGCCAAUUUUGUCAGUUUAGUCCUCUUUUUGCUGAUCACAAUGAGGAAAGUGAGAACUAUUCACAAUAAACAAAGAUGGAAAUAUUCUUAAUAACCUACUUAGCAAGAAAAGGAAAAAGAAGCGCGGGUAAUAAGCUUGACAGUUGAUGCCUCUUGGAUGAGAGUGGAACAAAUUACUAACAAGGGACCAUUCACUUUUAACACUUGUAAAUAUUUUAACCUAAGUAGAGAACAUUGUCAUAUGACUAAUAAUCACAUCAAAAUUAGAAAUUCAAGAUAAGUUGAAGUAUUGAGAAAAUACAUAGAUAGUCUAAUGACUUUGACCCCUUAAUAUGUAUGUGCAAUUAAAAUCAUUUAACUCAUGAAAGGUAUUAAUUCAUUUUAUUAUAACUAUUGUCAAGUUCAUAGUCAUCCCUAUAUUUUUAAUAUAACAACCUCAAAUGUUGCACUUAAGCUAGUGGUCUAAUAAUAUAAAUUUAAAAGUUGAUAUAGGCAUAAAUAAAUGAGCAUAUAUCAAUAAUGUUUUCAUAUGUACAAUUAUUGAUAGAUACAAAAUCAUCUUUAGAUUUAUCAUGUGGCAACCUUGAAUAUUGCACUC